Pieris napi is the source of this 1542-nucleotide long non-coding RNA. RefSeq lists it as uncharacterized. The transcript has 2 exons. NCBI's taxonomy places the organism in Eukaryota, Metazoa, Arthropoda, Insecta, Lepidoptera, Pieridae. The record is from RefSeq and is a predicted model, not a curated record.
UUUAAACACGUUCUUACGGUAUAUUUUGUAAUAAUUGAUCACAAAUAGACGCCGGCCGGCUUUUACCCGUUAUUGCACGCGAUGUUUUUUUUUUGGUUUUUUUUUCGGAAGUAGUGCAAACAAUUUAUGUAAAAUAGCAAUCUUAUGCUCAAAUGUAAAUUAGGAAGUCUAUAUUUAAAUCUAUAUAUUAUAGUAGUCAUUAUAUGAGGUACGUUUACUACCGAAUGGCAACGUGCUUUCGAAGUUAAAGGGAGGUACCUGUUUUUCCUAAUAAUAAACGGUACAUUACUUUUAAAUUCUUAAAAAACAAAAAUUAUAUACACUAAUAUAAUAUUUUUAUGUAACUAUGUCUCCUAAUAAGACUUAAUUAAGUGGGCAUACUUUAUGGUGGUAGUCUAUAAGUAGGCUUUAUAUUCGUAAAAGAUUUAAGUAGAUACGUUUCCCAUUUCUGACCCGCUCGUACAUGUACAGUGAAUUUAUUAAAUUUAAUGAUUCCAAUUGUAAUUUUACGAUAGUUAAUUCCUGAUUUGUAAUAUCUAGUAGGAAUAAUUCAAAUACGUAUAUUAAUAAGAUUAGAUGUAAAAAUGGAAAAAUUUGAAUGUUAGGUAAAUUCUAAUUUAUUAUUCGAUCAACAAAAUUACACAUCAAAUAAAGAUUUUGUAAAAUUGGUAUGCGUCUAUUCGAAAUUGGUUUCACGAUGAUAUACUUGUAGGUAUAAUUAUUACGUCUGCAGUCAAUUAAUAUUAAGGAAAAUGAUAGUUACUUUACUGAAAGUCAGAGGCGUCGCAACAUAAUAUGUAAUUGUAAAGACUGCAUUCUAUACUUACCGCAAAUUUUAACCUAUUGAAUUUUUAAUUCUUAACUCAGUCUAUCCAAAGACCAAACGAUCUAGAAUGUGCAUUAAUAAAAAUGCUUUUUUUUAUGUUCAAUUCAGUUUAAACUUUAACUACACAAAUAUACACGUAGGUAGAAAAAGUACUGAAAUUUUAAUUUUCACUCGAAAUUGUGCUAUAAAACGUAUAGGUGCUAUUAAUUUGAUCCCGAAAUUAAAAAAAAAUAACUAAAGUAUUUCGCAAAAAUUGGAUGAAGGUAUAAAAAAAAUCGGCACCAAACACGGUAGGUACAUUUCCCUAUUCUAUACAUAUUCGUAAUUUUAGAUUACAUCGCAGGUACAAAAUACGCAGGCUACAACGAAGGUAGAAUUAUAUAAAAUGUUACCUUUGAACAGUUACUGGACAUUGGCUGGACAGGAUUAUAAAAAAAGCAUCGGUUUAUACACCCUCAAUAUUAAUGAUAAAGCUCUUGAUUCUUAUAAUUUAGAUUAUACGUAAUAGGAUCAAUCGUAUGACUUACAUUAACCUUGAUAAGAGCUAAAUACCUCAGGAGAUGACUCAGAUGCAAAACCUGUGAUGGAAACAAAAUGUGAUCUGUCUAGGAAAUUCAAUGCUGGUGUAUUUCUAAAAGCUUGCAUUGAAUAUACCGCAAGAUGCCUAUAUUAUCGUUUUAUAUUAGUUCUUCAUUUUAAAUGCAACAUUGACAUUG